GCCAGACUCCUACGGGAGGCAGCAGUGGGGAAUAUUGCACAAUGGGGGAAACCCUGAUGCAGCAACGCCGCGUGAAGGAAGACGGUUUUCGGAUUGUAAACUUCUGUUCUUAGUGAAGAAGAAUGACGGUAGCUAAGGAGCAAGCCACGGCUAACUACGUGCCAGCAGCCGCGGUGAUACGUAUGGAGCAAGCGUUAUCCGGAUUUACUGGGUGUAAAGGGAGCGCAGGCGGCCUUGCAAGUCUGAUGUGAAAGCCCGGGGCCCAACCCCGGGACUGCCCUUGGAACUGCACGGCUGGAGUGCGGGAGGGGCAGGCGGAAUUCCUGGUGUAGCGGUGAAAUGCGUAGAUAUCAGGAGGAACACCGGCGGCGAAGGCGGCCUGCUGGACCGCGACUGACGUUGAGGCUCGAAAGCGUGGGGAGCGAACAGGAUUAGAUACCCCUGUA
Molecule: ribosomal RNA, 446 nt
Filed under: uncultured bacterium
Lineage: Bacteria
Description: bacterial SSU rRNA
Rfam family: Bacterial small subunit ribosomal RNA
Source: RNAcentral